UACAGAGGGUGCGAACGUUGCUCGGAAUCAUUGGGCGUAAAGCGCACGUAAGCGGCGAGGAAAGUUGGGUGUGAAAGCCCUGGGCUCAACCCAGGAAGUGCAUUCAAAACUACCUUGCUUGAAUCUCGGAGGGGGUCAGAGAAUUCCCGGUGUAGAGGUGAAAUUCGUAGAUAUCGGGAGGAAUACCAGUGGCGAAGGCGCUGACCUGGACGAAGAUUGACGCUGAGGUGCGAAAGCGUGGGGAGCAAACAGG
RNAcentral lists this ribosomal RNA (253 nucleotides) under uncultured bacterium. Its description in RNAcentral is "partial 16S ribosomal RNA". It matches the Rfam family "Bacterial small subunit ribosomal RNA", at positions 524 to 776 of the family's 1533-position model. The record is from RNAcentral.